Molecule: ribosomal RNA, 422 nt
Filed under: uncultured bacterium
Lineage: Bacteria
Description: bacterial SSU rRNA
Rfam family: Bacterial small subunit ribosomal RNA
Source: RNAcentral
UGAGGAAUAUUGGGCAAUGCCCGCAAGGGUGACCCAGCAACGCCGCGUGGAGGAUGAACGUCGUAAGAUUGUAAACUCCUGUUAGAGGGGAAGAAUAGUACCGGUUGGACCGGUAUAUGACUGUACCCUCAGAGAAAGCCCCGGCUAACUACGUGCCAGCAGCCGCGGUAAUACGUAGGGGGCAAGCGUUGUCCGGAUUUACUGGGUGUAAAGGGCGCGCAGGCGGGAUAAAAAGUCAGUGGUGAAAUCCUACAGCUUAACUGUAGAACUGCCUUUGAUACUUUUAGUCUUGAGUUCGGGAGAGAGAGACGGAAUUCCAGGUGUAGUGGUGAAAUACGUAGAUAUCUGGAAGAACACCAGUUGCGAAGGCGGUCUCUUGGUCCGACACUGACGCUGAGGCGCGAAAGCGUGGGGAGCAAACA